AGUGAACGCUGGCGGUAGGCCUAACACAUGCAAGUCGAACGGCAGCACAGUAAGAGCUUGCUCUUACGGGUGGCGAGUGGCGGACGGGUGAGGAAUACAUCGGAAUCUACUUUUUCGUGGGGGAUAACGUAGGGAAACUUACGCUAAUACAGCAUACGACCUACGGGUGAAAGCAGGGGAUCUUCGGACCUUGCGCGAUUGAAUGAGCCGAUGUUGGAUUAGCUAGUUGGCGGGGUAAAGGCCCACCAAGGCGACGAUCCGUAGCUGGUCUGAGAGGAUGAUCAGCCACACUGGAACUGAGACACGGUCCAGACUCCUACGGGAGGCAGCAGUGGGGAAUAUUGGACAAAGGGCGCAAGCCUGAUCCAGCCAUACCGCGUGGGUGAAGAAGGCCUUCGGGUUGUAAAGCCCUUUUGUUGGGAAAGAAAAGCAGCAGGUUAAUACCCCGCUGUUCUGACGGUACCCAAAGAAUAAGCACCGGCUAACUUCGUG
RNAcentral lists this ribosomal RNA (492 nucleotides) under uncultured bacterium. Its description in RNAcentral is "partial 16S ribosomal RNA". It matches the Rfam family "Bacterial small subunit ribosomal RNA", at positions 29 to 507 of the family's 1533-position model. The record is from RNAcentral.